Molecule: ribosomal RNA, 549 nt
Filed under: uncultured Glomus
Lineage: Eukaryota; Fungi; Glomeromycota; Glomeromycetes; Glomerales; Glomeraceae
Description: SSU rRNA
Rfam family: Eukaryotic small subunit ribosomal RNA
Source: RNAcentral
UUGGAGGGCAAGUCUGGUGCCAGCAGCCGCGGUAAUUCCAGCUCCAAUAGCGUAUAUUAAAGUUGUUGCAGUUAAAAAGCUCGUAGUUGAAUUUCGGGAUUAGUAGGUUGGUCAUGCCUCUGGUAUGUACUGAUCUCACUGAUUCCUCCUUCCUUAUGAACCGUAAUGCCAUUAAUUUGGUGUUGCGGGGAAUUUGGACUGUUACUUUGAAAAAAUUAGAGUGUUUAAAGCAGGCUAACGCUUGAAUACAUUAGCAUGGAAUAAUGAAAUAGGACGUUCGAUCUUAUUUUGUUGGUUUCUAGGAUUGACGUAAUGAUUAAUAGGGAUAGUUGGGGGCAUUAGUAUUCAAUUGUCAGAGGUGAAAUUCUUGGAUUUAUUGAAGACUAACUACUGCGAAAGCAUUUGCCAAGGAUGUUUUCAUUAAUCAAGAACGAAAGUUAGGGGAUCGAAGACGAUCAGAUACCGUCGUAGUCUUAACCAUAAACUAUGCCGACUAGGGAUCGGAUGAUGUUAAUUUUUUAAUGACUCAUUCGGCACCUUACGGGAAAC